RNAcentral lists this unclassified non-coding RNA (213 nucleotides) under Wallemia muriae. RNAcentral's name for it is "partial internal transcribed spacer 2". Lineage: Eukaryota; Fungi; Basidiomycota; Wallemiomycetes; Wallemiales; Wallemiaceae. The record is from RNAcentral.
ACAUCUCCAUAAUUAGUUUUUUUAAAAUUAAUUAAGGGUUUUGAGGUUGUCAUUGUAUUAUGACUCCCUUUAAAAUAAUUAGUGAUGACCUUAUGAAUGGGUUAAUACUGUGUGUUAUAAUGGAUUACAUCCAUCACCAGUCAGAGAGUAAUCUCGCCUUAGUAAUUUGUAGUGAUUGCUUCUAAUCGCCUUUAUUGGCAAAUUAAAUGAUCA